GCGACCAUGGUCUAGUGGUUAUGAUUGUGCCUUGCCAAGGCUCAGGCCCGGGUUCGAUUCCCGGUGGUCGCA
RNAcentral lists this transfer RNA (72 nucleotides) under Candidatus Iainarchaeum sp. Its description in RNAcentral is "tRNA-Gly". It matches the Rfam family "tRNA". From Rfam's summary of the family: Transfer RNA (tRNA) molecules are approximately 80 nucleotides in length. Lineage: Archaea; Nanobdellati; Candidatus Iainarchaeota; Candidatus Iainarchaeia; Candidatus Iainarchaeales; Candidatus Iainarchaeaceae. The record is from RNAcentral.